Molecule: long non-coding RNA, 1107 nt
Organism: Gadus chalcogrammus (walleye pollock)
Lineage: Eukaryota; Metazoa; Chordata; Actinopteri; Gadiformes; Gadidae
Exons: 7
Source: RefSeq, a predicted model, not a curated record
CUCCUCACCCAGAGCCAGACCUCCACCUCCUCACCCAGAGCCAGACCUUCACCUCCUCACCCGGAGCCAGACCUCCACCUCCUGUCAGAAGUCUUCCAGAACAGACAAGGAACCCAUGGCUGAUGGAGGAGUUGUGCUGAAGGCCCUGCCUGGUGGAGGAGCUGGUGGAGGCCCUGCCUGGUGAAGGACGUCUGUCGUGGGACAGGACUCUGUCUGAGGAGAGCUGCUGGAGGAGCUGAGACGCUGGAGGACGACUAGGAAUCGACCAACAAGGAUUCCUCAACGUGUUUCUGGAGCGGAGGCGAGCUGGUAGGGGAGCCAUGAAUCUGGAGGAUGACCAUCACUCUAUCAACAAGGAUUACUUUAGGGCCAGACUUGCGCUGUUUGUUCCAGACCAGGACUCUGGCUGAUGGAGGAGCCAAGACUCUGGAGGACGACAUCACUCUACCAACCAAGAUCCUCAGACAAAUUACGUUUGUAACCAGACCAGGAAUCGGGAGGACUGAUGGAGAAGCCGUACAUCUGGAAGGCAAAUCCAGAGGACAACCAGGACUCUACCAUCAAGACACACCUGAGCUGAACCUCACCUGAUCUUGUUUGGUCGGGGGUAGACACACCUGAGCUAAACCCGCCCUGAUCCUGACAUCCUGCUGGUCCCGUCUCCUCAGUUCAUCUGCGCCUCGUCCUCCAGAAGACCUGCUGAGCUCAGCAGUCUGAGGCUGAUGGAUCAAUGACCUCCAGUGGGAGUGAUCUUCUUGACCCCACAUGUAACCGUGUGUUUCCACACGCCUUUCCCUCAUGUUUGUCACUAACCUCACUACUUCACUACUCUCUGCUGCUUCCUCUUUUCUUCCUUCUCUGUGGUUCGAAACUUUACACGGAAGGCGCGUCUUCCUGCCCUCAGAGGGUUCAGCGUUAGGGUUGAGAGUCAGGGUUUAGAGUCAGGGACAGAGCUGGUCAGGGAGGACUGCUUUUACACAAACCUCUUCACUUCCUUUCGGAAUGGUGGUGACAUUUUGAAAAGAUUCAUUUGGGAAAAUGUUUUCCUCUGCUUUCCUUUACAAAAUUGUAUUCAAUUUCUGUCAAGUGUUUUUGUUUAGAUAUUAA